Molecule: ribosomal RNA, 466 nt
Filed under: uncultured bacterium
Lineage: Bacteria
Description: bacterial SSU rRNA
Rfam family: Bacterial small subunit ribosomal RNA
Source: RNAcentral
UAGGGAAUAUUGGUCAAUGGGUGAGAGCCUGAACCAGCCAUGCCGCGUGCAGGAAGAAGGCCUUCUGGGUUGUAAACUGCUUUUGCCGGGGGAUAAAAUGGCUUUGCGAAGCUAAUUGAAGGUACCCGGUGAAUAAGCCACGGCUAACUACGUGCCAGCAGCCGCGGUAAUACGUAGGUGGCAAGCGUUGUCCGGAUUUAUUGGGUUUAAAGGGUGCGUAGGCGGUUCUUUAAGUCAGUGGUGAAAUACAGCCGCUUAACGGUUGAGGUGCCAUUGAUACUGAAGAACUUGAGUACAGACGAGGUAGGCGGAAUUGACGGUGUAGCGGUGAAAUGCUUAGAUAUCGUCAAGAACACCGAUAGCGAAGGCAGCUUACUAGACUGUAACUGACGCUGAGGCACGAAAGUGUGGGGAUCAAACAGGAUUAGAUACCCUCGUAGUCCCUGAGCGGGCUGGCAAGGCGCAU